Molecule: unclassified non-coding RNA, 236 nt
Filed under: Glomus sp.
Lineage: Eukaryota; Fungi; Glomeromycota; Glomeromycetes; Glomerales; Glomeraceae
Description: partial contains 5.8S ribosomal RNA and internal transcribed spacer 2
Rfam family: 5.8S ribosomal RNA (bases 1-71)
Source: RNAcentral
GUGAAUCAUCAAAUUUUUGAACGCAAAUUGCACUCUCUGGUAUUCCGGAGCGUAUUCCUGUUUGAGGGUAAGUUUAAACAAAAAUCGGUGUGGUAGCCGCUUUUCGUGGUGACGCACUGGAUUUGGGUAGUCUUGCCUUUGGUUAAGUGACAUAAUAUUCUGUAUGAUUUUUUUCACACGUCUUUAAUUGUUUUUACGUAUGUUUGCGAUAUAGCAUACUUGAUUUGGCGUUCCCG